AUUGAAUGCUGGCGGCAGGCCUAACACAUGCAAGUCGAGCGGUAACACAGGGAGCUUGCUCCUGGGUGACGAGCGGCGGACGGGUGAGUAAUGUCUGGGAAACUGCCUGAUGGAGGGGGAUAACUACUGGAAACGGUAGCUAAUACCGCAUAACGUCGCAAGACCAAAGAGGGGGACCUUCGGGCCUCUUGCCAUCAGAUGUGCCCAGAUGGGAUUAGCUAGUAGGUGGGGUAACGGCUCACCUAGGCGACGAUCCCUAGCUGGUCUGAGAGGAUGACCAGCCACACUGGAACUGAGACACGGUCCAGACUCCUACGGGAGGCAGCAGUGGGGAAUAUUGCACAAUGGGCGCAAGCCUGAUGCAGCCAUGCCGCGUGUAUGAAGAAGGCCUUCGGGUUGUAAAGUACUUUCAGCGGGGAGGAAGGCGAUAAGGUUAAUAACCUUGUCGAUUGACGUUACCCGCAGAAGAAGCACCGGCUAACUCCGUGCCAGCAGCCGCGGUAA
This 504-nucleotide ribosomal RNA is filed under the name uncultured bacterium. RNAcentral's name for it is "partial 16S ribosomal RNA". It matches the Rfam family "Bacterial small subunit ribosomal RNA", at positions 30 to 523 of the family's 1533-position model. The record is from RNAcentral.